CAGUCAUACCAACGGGAAGUCAACCUCUUGAGUUUGGUCUUGUGGUUUCGAAGAGUUUAAAAGCCUUCGAUUUUGCGAGGAUUGGGCUCUUUUAGUGUACUUUCUCGUACGGUUAGUCAACAUCGGUUUUGAAUGUCAUAAAAUGACUGGAGGAAUGGGGGCUCCAACCUCGAAUUGAAGGGUUAAAGCCUUUGGUAAAUGUGAUGUUCGACACCGAGGAUUGCAAUGAAUACCCUUCGGGGCUAUUCUUCUGAUCUCUGAAACUUUCCCUGGAGGACAAAGGCUUGCUAAUGAUGUGGGGGUAUUCCGUCAAAGGUUAAAACGGAUUAA
RNAcentral lists this ribosomal RNA (330 nucleotides) under uncultured fungus. RNAcentral describes it as "LSU rRNA". Lineage: Eukaryota; Fungi. The record is from RNAcentral.